Aricia agestis (brown argus) is the source of this 1047-nucleotide long non-coding RNA. RefSeq lists it as uncharacterized. The record is from RefSeq and is a predicted model, not a curated record. NCBI's taxonomy places the organism in Eukaryota, Metazoa, Arthropoda, Insecta, Lepidoptera, Lycaenidae. The transcript is spliced from 4 exons.
AUGAAACCAAUAAUCAACAUCCAACACAAUCAACGGUAGCAGCAUGUACCUAUUAAUUUGUUUGGGUAGCAGUUGUGAGUUGUGACUUGUGAUUGUCAGUUAUUUUCUGUUGUUUUCAAAUUGAGAACUGAGAAGGCCUGCUUUAUGCGACGAGAGUAAAGAUCUUGUGAAUAUUAAUCGACUGUGGAUAUAUCUUGGAUAUUAUAUUACACCUACUGAUCAUAUUUGCCAUGCAUGCUGGCAACUUGCGUAUCAUGCAUCUACUGAAAAUAUGUCCAGCAGCAGCAGCGGUUCGCCAUCAUAAUAUCUGUGUUGUAUCAUGUGGAUUAUCCAUAGUAAUAGCAAAUCGAUGCAGAAUUUUAAUUGAAGGGACAAAUGAAGAACAACAAAGAGUGGCUUCUAUACCUAGUAUCUUCUUGGAUUCAAGCACGAGAGCUUUGGUCUCAAGAUGAAGAACCAGAAUAGUCCAAGUAAUUGAGGACUUUCAACCUGAAUAUAUGGAAUCAGCUUUAAUGUGUACUGUAUGUGGCCAGUCUGGACACCACAACUUCAGACUUAGAGUGGAAUCCUGAAAACAUUACUCGUUUGCUGGAGCAACAAGAGAUGUCAUCUAUGAAUGAAGUUUCUGGAGUUUGUUGGAACCAAGCUCGAGACAUAAGGUCAGAUAUUCCAGAAGCUGAUGAAAGAUCCCAACAAAAUAUAGUGUUGUUCAAUAUAAGAAGAGCAGCUGAAACACCAGGACAUUGCGUUUUUCAAGAAUGCAUGAAUCCUGAGCAAAAUGUUGUGCCUUGAGUUGCCUGUGCCUGUGUUGUGUUGUUGUGCUUUAAGCUAAAAAAAAGUCCUGCCAUUUAACUGCCAACAAAAUAAGUUUUUCCAGAAGGAAAAACUUAUUUUGUAUUUAUUGUAACAGAAAGAAACAUGAAUGGUCAGGUCGCUAUCAAAAGCUAUUGCUGUUACUGCAUUGUAGGCUUUAGAACAGUGGGAUGCUGCUCACAUGUUUAUGAGCAUCAUUUGGUACCUAAGCUAUGUUCGCCAUGAGGGUACUCC